CCUGCUUCUCGGCCUUUUGGCUAAGAUCAAAGUGUAGUAUCUGUUCUUAUCAGCUUAAUGGAGAGUACAUAAUCAGGUUCUUUUUGCAUGGAAGGAAGAACACAGAUUUGGACUUUCUGGGGGUGAAAGUAACAGAGUUACUCCUUUGUUGUUUUAGGCGGCGAGCAGGGAACCCGGUAUUUUUCCAUUGCUGUGGUUAUU
This 201-nucleotide small nuclear RNA is filed under the name Homarus americanus (American lobster). Its description in RNAcentral is "U2 spliceosomal RNA". It matches the Rfam family "U2 spliceosomal RNA". Rfam says of the family: U2 is a small nuclear RNA (snRNA) component of the spliceosome (involved in pre-mRNA splicing). Lineage: Eukaryota; Metazoa; Arthropoda; Malacostraca; Decapoda; Nephropidae. The record is from Rfam by way of RNAcentral.